AUUGAACGCUGGCGGCAGGCCUAACACAUGCAAGUCGAGCGGAUGAAGGGAGCUUGCUCCUGGAUUCAGCGGCGGACGGGUGAGUAAUGCCUAGGAAUCUGCCUGGUAGUGGGGGAUAACGUCCGGAAACGGGCGCUAAUAUCGCAUACGUCAUGAGGGAGAAAGUGGGGGAUCUUCGGACCUCACGCUAUUAGAUGAGCCUAGGUCGGAUUAGCUAGUUGGUGGGGUAAAGGCCUACCAAGGCGACGAUCCGUAACUGAUCUGAGAGGAUGAUCAGUCACACUGGAACUGAGACACGGUCCAGACUCCUACGGGAGGCAGCAGUGGGGAAUAUUGGACAAUGGGCGAAAGCCUGAUCCAGCCAUGCCGCGUGUGUGAAGAAGGUCUUCGGAUUGUAAAGCACUUUAAGUUGGGAAGAAGGGCAGUAAGUUAAUACCUUGCUGUUUUGACGUUACCAACAGAAUAAGCACCGGCUAACUUCGUG
This 484-nucleotide ribosomal RNA is filed under the name uncultured bacterium. Its description in RNAcentral is "partial 16S ribosomal RNA". It matches the Rfam family "Bacterial small subunit ribosomal RNA", at positions 30 to 507 of the family's 1533-position model. The record is from RNAcentral.